Molecule: ribosomal RNA, 530 nt
Filed under: uncultured archaeon
Lineage: Archaea
Description: bacterial SSU rRNA
Rfam family: Bacterial small subunit ribosomal RNA
Source: RNAcentral
CAGCCGCCGCGGUAAUACGUAGGUGGCGAGCGUUAUCCGGAAUUAUUGGGCGUAAAGGGUGCGUAGGCGGCCUGAAAAGUCUGUGGUGAAAUCGUGGGGCUCAACCCCAUCAAGCCCCAGAAACUAUCAGGCUGGAGAACAGCAGAGGCAAGCGGAAUUCCAUGUGUAGCGGUAAAAUGCGUAGAUAUAUGGAGGAACACCGGUGGCGAAGGCGGCUUGCUGGGCUGUUACUGACGCUGAGGCACGAAAGCGUGGGGAGCAAAUAGGAUUAGAUACCCUAGUAGUCCACGCCGUAAACGAUGAAUACUAAGUGUUGGAGAAAUUCAGUGCUGCAGUUAACGCAAUAAGUAUUCCGCCUGGGGAGUACGCACGCAAGUGUGAAACUCAAAGGAAUUGACGGGGACCCGCACAAGCGGUGGAUUAUGUGGUUUAAUUCGAUGCAACGCGAAGAACCUUACCAAGCCUUGACAUCCGAGGCGAAGCUCUGGAGACAGAGCGGAGGCUAUCCGAAGGACAGGUGGUGCAUGGCC